This 1242-nucleotide ribosomal RNA is filed under the name metagenome. RNAcentral describes it as "bacterial LSU rRNA". It matches the Rfam family "Bacterial large subunit ribosomal RNA", at positions 1564 to 2815 of the family's 2925-position model. The record is from RNAcentral.
UGAGUACAAGAUGCUACGGCAUUGAAGCAGUCUAUGUCAUACUUCCAAGAAAAGCUUGCAAUGUCAUAAACAAAUAAUGCCUGUACCAUAACCGACACAGGUGGGUAGGUAGAGUAUACUAAGGGGCGCGAGAUAACUCUCUCUAAGGAACUCGGCGAAAUGACUCCGUAACUUCGGGAGAAGGAGUACCUUAUUUUAUAAGGUUGCAAUAACAAGGUCCAAGCAACUGUUUACCAAAAACACAGGUCUCCGCUAAGUCGUAAGACGAUGUAUGGGGGCUGACGCCUGCCCAGUGCCAGAAGGUUAAAGAAGUUGGUUAGCAUUAGCGAAGCUGAUAACUGAAGCCCUGGUGAACGGCGGCCGUAACAAUAACGGUCCUAAGGUAGCGAAAUUCCUUGUCGGGUAAGUUCCGACCCGCACGAAAGGCGUAAUGAUUUGGAUACUGUCUCGGAGAGGGGCUCGGUGAAAUAGACUUGUCUGUGAAGAUGCGGACUACCUGCACCUGGACAGAAAGACCCUAUGAAGCUUUACUGUAACUUGAGAUUGAAAUUGGACUUUAUUUGCGCAGUAUAGGUGGGAGACCUCGAAAGUAUUCUUGCGGGAAUAUUGGAGUCAUCAGUGAGAUACCACUCUUAUAAUGUUAGAUUUCUAACUUUGUAUCAUUAUCUGGUCAAAGAACAGUUUCAGGCGGGCAGUUUGACUGGGGCGGUCGCCUCCCAAAUGGUAACGGAGGCGCACAAAGGUUUCCUCUGAACGUGUAGAAAUCGUAUCUAGAGUGUAAAGGCAUAAGGAAGCUUGACUGUGAGACCUACAAGUCGAGCAGGGACGAAAGUCGGUCUUAGUGAUCUGACGGUGCUGAGUGGAAAGGCCGUCACUCAACGGAUAAAAGUUACUCUAGGAUAACAGGCUGAUCUCCCCCAAGAGUUCACAUCGACGGGGAGGUUUGGCACCUCGAUGUCGGCUCAUCGCAUCCUGGGGCGGUAGUACGUCCCAAGGGUUGGGCUGUUCGCCCAUGAAAGCGGUACGCGAGCUGGGUUCAGAACGUCGUGAGACAGUUCGGUCCAUAUCCGGUGUAGGCGUUAGAAUAUUGAGAGGAGCCUUCUUUAGUACGAGAGGACCGAGAAGGACAUACCUCUGGUGUACCAGUUAUCGUGCCAACGGUAAACGCUGGGUAGCUAUGUAUGGAGAGGAUAACCGCUGAAAGCAUCUAAGUGGGAAGCCCACCUCAAGAUAAGUAUUCUU